RNAcentral lists this transfer RNA (75 nucleotides) under Desulfurococcus sp. It matches the Rfam family "tRNA". Rfam says of the family: Transfer RNA (tRNA) molecules are approximately 80 nucleotides in length. RNAcentral also lists the same sequence under 2 other names. Lineage: Archaea; Thermoproteati; Thermoproteota; Thermoprotei; Desulfurococcales; Desulfurococcaceae. The record is from Rfam by way of RNAcentral.
GGGCCCGUCGUCUAGCCUGGUUAGGACGCCGCCCUCACACGGCGGAGGCCCGGGGUUCAAAUCCCCGCGGGCCCA